This 798-nucleotide ribosomal RNA is filed under the name uncultured bacterium. RNAcentral's name for it is "bacterial SSU rRNA". It matches the Rfam family "Bacterial small subunit ribosomal RNA", at positions 597 to 1397 of the family's 1533-position model. The record is from RNAcentral.
AAAUGCAGAGGCUCAACUCUGUUCGGCACUGGAUACUGGCAAGCUUGAAUGCGGUAGAGGUAAAGGGAAUUCCUGGUGAGCGGUGAAAUGCGUAGAUAUCAGGAGGAACAUCGGUGGCGAAAGCGCUUUACUGGGCCGAAUUGACACUGAGGAACGAAAGCCAGGGUAGCAAAUGGGAUUAGAUACCCCAGUAGUCCUGCCGUAAACGAUGGAUACUAGGUGUUGCGGGUAUCGACCCCUGCAGUGCCGAAGCUAACGGAUAAGUAUCCCGCCUGGGGAGUACGCACGCAAGUGUGAAACUCAAAGGAAUUGACGGGGCCCGCACAAGCGGUGGAACAUGUGGUUUAAUUCGAAGCAACGCGAAAAACCUUACCAGGGUUGACAUCUGACGAACCUCGAUGAAAGUUGAGGGUGCUCUUCGGAGAGCGUCAAGACAGGGGUGCACGGUUGUCGUCAGCUCGUGUCGUGAGAUGUUGGGUUAAGUCCCGCAACGAGCGCACCCACGUUGUCAGUUGGUACUGUCGGUAUACUUACAGUAACCUCUCUGGCGAGACUGCCGUGAUAAACCGGAGGAAGGUGUGGACGACGUCAAAUCAUCAUGCCCCUUAUGCUCUGGGCACACACGUGUUACAAUGGCUGGUACAACGAGUCGCCAACUCGCGAGAGUGAGCAAAUCUCAAAAGCCAGUCUCAGUUCGGAUUGCACUCUGCAACUCGAGUGCAUGAAGUCGGAAUCGCUGUAAACGCAGAUCAGCACGCUGCGUUGAAUACGUUCCCGGGUCUUGUACACACCGCCCGU